AGUCUGUCUGUCUGUCUAGCACAAGAACAGACAGAAAAAUGUCAAAUGGCUCUUUUGAAUAUUGCUGAACUCUUCAUCUCCGAAAAUAAUUACGGCAAGGCCCUGCAGUUCAUUCAGGCUGAGAAGAUGUUCUAUGAGGUUGCUCUGAUCGAGCUCACUGCUGUUCAGGGGAGCACAGGCCCCCAGGAGGAGGCUUUGCUGGGCUCGGCGGGGACAGGAUGGGCGUCCUCAGAGGAGCUAUCGGAUCAGGCCUCUCAGGCACAGCACCUGGAGCAGCUAGCCCAGCUCUGCAUCGUGAGUAAAAGACCUCAUCUUGCUUUAGAGUACAGUGGGAAAGCCACUAAGAUCCAUCAGAGGGCCUUUGGCAACGACCACCCCAUCACAGACAGGAGUCUGGAGCUGCUGGCCACCGUCUACGCAGAGAUCGGCAAGACAGAAUACUCAGACUCCCUGGACCAGUGUGUGUCAGUGCUGUCCAAGAGGUUUGCUGCUGCCGAGUCCUUCAGAGACAAACUCAACAACGGUCUUCCCCAUUCCCACUCCCAUUCCCAUCGGGAGAAACACACUGAGGUCUGGCACAGGAAAGACCCCAGUCCACAGGAUGACACACCAAAACCGAAGGUCACCAACGGUAAAAUCCCUACGUCCAUACUGAAGAGGUCUGGCUCAGGAUCAGACUCGGAGCCCAGCCACAGAUGGAAAGGCGAGCGACGGGUCCGGUUCCGGGAGCCUGAGACCACUGUGCAUGACGUUCCAUACUAUGACUGUUUAGUUGCCUAUGACACGUCACCGCCACGCCCCCACCUGGCCCUGUUCACCUGCUUGUUCCUGCUGAUGUCACUGCUGGGCGUGGUCAUGUACAGCACGGACCGCCGGCGCCCACAGCGUGUGUGUGAGGAGCUGGAGGCCUCAUUGGCUGUCUAUCUGAUACACAUGAAACAGCUGCUGUGGGGCUGCUGGAUCUGGCUAACCAUGCAGUGA
Molecule: long non-coding RNA, 981 nt
Organism: Oncorhynchus mykiss (rainbow trout)
Lineage: Eukaryota; Metazoa; Chordata; Actinopteri; Salmoniformes; Salmonidae
Source: Ensembl